AGAGUUUGAUCCUGGCUCAGAUUGAACGCUGGCGGCAUGCCUUACACAUGCAAGUCGAACGGCAGCAUGGGAGCUUGCUCCUGAUGGCGAGUGGCGAACGGGUGAGUAAUAUAUCGGAACGUACCCUAGAGUGGGGGAUAACGCAGCGAAAGUUGCGCUAAUACCGCAUACGAUCUACGGAUGAAAGUGGGGGAUCGCAAGACCUCAUGCUCAUGGAGCGGCCGAUAUCUGAUUAGCUAGUUGGUGGGGUAAAAGCCUACCAAGGCAUCGAUCAGUAGCUGGUCUGAGAGGACGACCAGCCACACUGGAACUGAGACACGGUCCAGACUCCUACGGGAGGCAGCAGUGGGGAAUUUUGGACAAUGGGCGCAAGCCUGAUCCAGCAAUGCCGCGUGAGUGAAGAAGGCCUUCGGGUUGUAAAGCUCUUUUGUCAGGGAAGAAACGGUGAGCUCUAAUACAGUUUGCUAAUGACGGUACCUGAAGAAUAAGCACCGGCUAACUACGUGCCAGCAGCCGCGGUAAUACGUAGGGUGCAAGCGUUAAUCGGAAUUACUGGGCGUAAAGCGUGCGCAGGCGGUUAUGUAAGUCAGAUGUGAAAUCCCCGGGCUCAACCUGGGAAUGGCAUUUGAGACUGCAUGGCUAGAGUGUGUCAGAGGGGGG
RNAcentral lists this ribosomal RNA (660 nucleotides) under uncultured Herbaspirillum sp. RNAcentral describes it as "bacterial SSU rRNA". It matches the Rfam family "Bacterial small subunit ribosomal RNA", at positions 8 to 661 of the family's 1533-position model. Lineage: Bacteria; Pseudomonadati; Pseudomonadota; Betaproteobacteria; Burkholderiales; Oxalobacteraceae. The record is from RNAcentral.